ACCAAAGAGUAUGGAUCCUAGCAGUCACGAAAGCUUUAAAUCUAGAAUUAAUCCAUAGCAGCCUAUGUCCAUUCUAAACCACAAGCAUGUUAAUUAUACACACUUCAAAAACGCAAUACUGUAUAAAAUAUAUAUACCAAGGGCCAGUAUUACAGCAUCGAACUUUAAUAAAAGUUCUGAAGCAGAUUUUCUUUUUGUAACAACAAAAAAAUCCCGCCAAAAGUAACGGCCGAGUCCCGACGCCAAUUCACGUACAGUGUCGCGUAACUGUACCAACAUCGGCGACCACAACACCCACCCAUCCCUUCGUGCCCCGCCGCCGCCGCCACUCGCUCGCCCCCCUUGCCCCGAGAGCUCGUCGAGGCGGGUGACCCUUUGCCUUUGGUGCGGGGGAGCGGUGGCGCUGCGAUUCGCGCCGCCGCACGCGAGACCCGACCUCCGACUCCCCGCUCACGGCCCCACAAACACCGACGACGAAAUCUCUGGACCGGGCCACCCGGGGCCAUCGGCCUCCGCCUCAACACGAGUGGGGGGGUACCCGCUGCGGUGUUGCAGAGAGAGUUACAUAAAAGCACUUCACCUCGUCCAGAGGGAGAGCACAGGUGACAUCGAAUAUGGAGAGUAUUGAUGCACAGAGACAAAAUAGACUGUCAAAAAUUCCACAUAAAUACCAUAACUCAUCAGGAAGCGAGAAUUAUGAUGAUGAAGGAGAGAAGCCAAAUAAGAAAAUGAGAGUUGCAGCUAUGUCAGCCGAGGCCAUUCAGUGCUGCUCAGUGGUGGCCCUGCCAUUGCCACCAGAAUUCAUCACUCACCCAGCUCUGGCUGAAUUUUGCUCGCAAACAAGUGCCUCAACGUCCAAAGACAGACUUUACAUGAUUAGAACCCCUUCGCCGCUUGGACAGACGUCAACAGGAAGUUCACGAGCAGGGAGCUAUUCAAUAGAAGAUCGGAUUUCCAAAGGACACACUCAUACCCCACAAAGGCACGACCUAAAUUACAAGAGCCAAGUUCUACUCAAACUGGACAUCAUUAUAGAAAACCAGGCGGAGCAAUUACACCUUUUGCAAACACUUGCAAACAGAGCGGUUGUAAAUGAGACCUUGGAGGAUGUUCUUCCCAACCCAUUCAACACGACGGAUGAACUUGAAGAGCUUUGCUGUAGAAUUAGCACAGAUGACAAAUUCAAAAAGGACAUGGUAUAUUACUUUUGAUAUCCUAUCUGAGUUCACUGGGUGGAUGUAACGUUGGGGACAGUGUCCACCGAAUGAUGAGAACGCUCGGCACCAAUGCCCUGUGGUCAAAGUACAGCCUCAAAGGGAGAAAAGGGAAGCUGUCCCUAAUAUAUCUUCCAGUUUUCAUGGUGCUGACGAGAGCUUGCUUAAAGAACCACCCAAGAGCAAACGUGAAGGAAAUAGAGGGAGAGAUUGCAGAAACCCUAAAGCAUGCUCCCAACAAACGAGGAGGGGCAAAUUACAAGGAAUCUGCAGUCAGGACUUUAAGGAAUAAGUACCAGUCCAGCCUUCCCACGUCUUUCUCUGACACUGAUCUUUAAAAUUAUGAAAUCAAUACAACCUUAAAAUGCCAUUUGUAAAAGUUUCAUAGCUCGGCCUAUAUAUAUAAAAAAGCAAUUUAAAGUAGCUGACAUUAAUGGCAAAAUGUUAUCUCUAGCGUCUGUACUAUAUUAGUUUAAGUGUGUAUUAUGUGUACUCAAUUUGUACUUUUUCGAGUGAAAAUAAAUGUUUAAUAUCA
Molecule: RNA transcript, 1749 nt
Organism: Petromyzon marinus (sea lamprey)
Lineage: Eukaryota; Metazoa; Chordata; Hyperoartia; Petromyzontiformes; Petromyzontidae
Source: RefSeq, a predicted model, not a curated record